AACGAACGCUGGCGGCAGGCCUAACACAUGCAAGUCGAGCGAGGACUUCGGUCCUAGCGGCGGACGGGUGAGUAACGCGUGGGAACGUGCCCUUUGCUUCGGAAUAGCCCUGGGAAACUGGGAGUAAUACCGGAUGAGCCCUUUGGGGGAAAGAUUUAUCGGCGAAGGAUCGGCCCGCGUUGGAUUAGGUAGUUGGUGGGGUAAUGGCCUACCAAGCCGACGAUCCAUAGCUGGUUUGAGAGGAUGAUCAGCCACACUGGGACUGAGACACGGCCCAGACUCCUACGGGAGGCAGCAGUGGGGAAUCUUAGACAAUGGAGGAAACCCUGAUCGAGCCAUGCCGCGUGAGCGAUGAAGGCCUUAGGGUUGUAAAGCUCUUUCAGCUGGGAAGAUAAUGACGGUACCAGCAGAAGAAGCCCCGGCUAACUCCGUG
RNAcentral lists this ribosomal RNA (433 nucleotides) under uncultured bacterium. Its description in RNAcentral is "partial 16S ribosomal RNA". It matches the Rfam family "Bacterial small subunit ribosomal RNA", at positions 29 to 507 of the family's 1533-position model. The record is from RNAcentral.